CACCAAUCAAGCAACGCUUGGUAUUGGGCGUCCGGUCCACUUGUUCAAAAUGGACCCGCCAGAAAUGCAUCGGCGUGGAAACCGACCCCCGGCGUGUUAAGAAUCUCACAGUUCGAACGUCGGGAGCACCGGUGGCCUCUGCCGCAACCUCUUUGUCACCAAA
RNAcentral lists this unclassified non-coding RNA (163 nucleotides) under uncultured Myriangiaceae. Its description in RNAcentral is "sequence contains ITS2". The record is from RNAcentral. Lineage: Eukaryota; Fungi; Ascomycota; Dothideomycetes; Myriangiales; Myriangiaceae.